Long non-coding RNA from Mobula hypostoma (lesser devil ray), 1403 nucleotides. RefSeq lists it as uncharacterized. The record is from RefSeq and is a predicted model, not a curated record. Lineage: Eukaryota; Metazoa; Chordata; Chondrichthyes; Myliobatiformes; Myliobatidae. The transcript is spliced from 3 exons.
AGCGUGUUCCCAGAUUGAGAUACUGAUUUAUUUAUUACACAUACAUGGAAACAUACUGUGAAAUGCAUCAUUUGCCUUAACAGCCAACACACCUAAGAAUGUGCUGAAGGCAGCCUGCAUAUGUUGGCACACAUUCGAGCAGCAACAAAGCAUACCCAUAACGUACAGCAGCAACAACAAAACAAAGUACAUUUCCCAUCCCUUCACCCACCCAGCAAGUCUCCAACCCUCAGACAGGCUGCCUCUGGACUUCCCCAGUCAACUGUACCCUUUGAUUCCUUUGGGCGUCUACCUUUGGUUUUCAACCUUCAGUUUUCUACCUCUGGAGUCCAGGCACCCACUGUGUAGAAAACAAUUGCCUCACUUCCCUUCGAAACCUCUUACUUCUCAGCUUAGCUUUCACCCUCUCGUUGUAGAUACCCCCACAAAGAAAGCUGAAAAUUACUGUAUCCUCAAGCCAGAAUUGACUGCCCACUUGUUUCCUGGUUCAGUGUAGGUCAUAUUGGUGGUAGGAGGAAGGAAGGGAUCUGAUUGAUAUACAAGUCAUACUGAGGAGGGAUGGCAUGCUUCACUCCAUGAGGAGUUGAUGAGCAGAUUUGUGUCUUUACUUCAUUUUCUGGGUAAGGGUGUCAGUGAGAAGGCCAACUUGUAUUGCCCAUACUUAAUGAAAGCUCUUGAUGAUCCAUUUCCUUGAACCACAACAGUCCUUAAUGAAGUAACAUACAUCAAAGUUGCUGGUGAACGCAGCAGGCCAAGCAGCAUCUAUAGGAAGAGGCGCAGUCGACGUUUCAGGCCGAGACCCUUCGUCAGGACUAACUGAAGGAAGAGUUUCACGAGAUCUUAAAGGAAAGGCUACAUGACACCAUCCUUCAAGUUGUAUACACUGAAGAGAGUGAAUUGGGAAGAAGAUGAUGACGACGUCAUUGAAGAACCUCGGAUUGACACCAGAUUUCUCUGGGAUCCAGAAUCUAAUAGCUGGUGUGAAAGCUGAUUUCAAGCCACUUCAUUUUUUGUAGUAGGGAUAGUGUAUUCUGUAUAUUUUGAAUAGCAUUACUGUAAUGUUUACCAUUUAUUCUACAAUUUAAAGAAAGUUUUAGAAAGUAAGUUGUAGUUUGUUGAAGAAAUUAAACCUAGAAUUCACAAGGUAUGCAAGCAUGGAGUGUAAAAUUGUUUUCACUUAAUCCAAAAUUUUAUCUACACUUUCAGUUUUAAUAAGUAUCUAGUACAUGCUUUGUGAACAAAUAAAUUUACAUAGUUUGAAAUUACCAUUAGUUAGCAAUAAUAUCACAAGUCAAUGUGAAGUAAAUAAUUUUUCCUAAUGCAAGAAGCCUGACCUGAAAACAUUUCAUAUGUUUAUAACUUCUCCUCAAAGUUCAAAGUAAAAUUUAUUAUCGGCGUACAUA